AUUGAUUCCUUCGGGAUGAUUUGGAUUCAGCUUAGUGGCGGACGGGUGAGUAACGCGUGAGCAACCUGCCUUUCAGUGGGGGACAACAGUUAGAAAUGACUGCUAAUACCGCAUAAUAUCCUUUUGGGGCAUCCCUUUUGGAUCAAAGAUUUAUUGCUGAAAGAUGGGCUCGCGUCUGAUUAGCUAGUUGGUGGGGUAACGGCCCACCAAGGCGACGAUCAGUAGCCGGACUGAGAGGUUGAACGGCCACAUUGGGACUGAGAUACGGCCCAGACUCCUACGGGAGGCAGCAGUGGGGAAUAUUGGGCAAUGGGGGGAAACCCUGACCCAGCAACGCCGCGUGAGGGAAGAAGGUCUUCGGAUUGUAAACCUCUUUUACCAGGGAAGAAGAAAGUGACGGUACCUGGAGAAAAAGCCACGGCUAACUACGUGCCAGCAGCCGCGGUAAUACGUAGGUGGCAAGCGUUGUCCGGAUUUACUGGGUGUAAAGGGCGUGUAGGCGGGAAGACAGGUCAGAUGUGAAAUGUCGGGGCUCAACCCCGGAACUGCAUUUGAAACCGUUUUUCUUGAGUAUCGGAGAGGCAGGCGGAAUUCCUAGUGUAGCGGUGAAAUGCGUAGAUAUUAGGAGGAACACCAGUGGCGAAGGCGGCCUGCUGGACGACAACUGACGCUGAG
RNAcentral lists this ribosomal RNA (675 nucleotides) under uncultured bacterium. RNAcentral describes it as "bacterial SSU rRNA". It matches the Rfam family "Bacterial small subunit ribosomal RNA", at positions 66 to 750 of the family's 1533-position model. The record is from RNAcentral.